This 492-nucleotide ribosomal RNA is filed under the name uncultured bacterium. RNAcentral describes it as "partial 16S ribosomal RNA". It matches the Rfam family "Bacterial small subunit ribosomal RNA", at positions 28 to 507 of the family's 1533-position model. The record is from RNAcentral.
GGUGAACGCUGGCGGUAGGCCUAACACAUGCAAGUCGAACGGCAGCACAGUAAGAGCUUGCUCUUACGGGUGGCGAGUGGCGGACAGGUGAGGAAUACAUCGGAAUCUACUUUUUCGGGGGGGAUAACGUAGGGAAACUUACGCUAAUACCGCAUACGACCUACGGGUGAAAGCAGGGGAUCUUCGGACCUUGCGCGAUUGAAUGAGCCGAUGUCGGAUUAGCUAGUUGGCGGGGUAAAGGCCCACCAAGGCGACGAUCCGUAGCUGGUCUGAGAGGAUGGUCAGCCGCACUGGAACUGAGACACGGACCAGACUCCUAAGGGAGGCCGCAGUGGGGAAUAUUGGACAAUGGGGGCAAGCCUGAUCCAGCGAUACCGAGUGGGUGAAGAAGGCCUUCGGGUUGUAAAGCCCUUUUGUUGGGAAAGAAAAGCAGCAGGUUAAUACCCCGCUGUUCUGACGGUACCCAAAGAAUAAGCACCGGCUAACUUCGUG